CAGGUAGGGCUUUUACGUGCAUCUUUCUCUCUCAUAACAAAGACAGAAAUGGCGAAAACAAAGAGCGUGGAGAAUGCAGAGAAGUUGGUGGAGAAAAACAUGAAAGGAAACGAUGCCUCUCAUGAUGCAUCGCACGUGUCGAGGGUCAGGGAUCUUGCUCUCUCCCUCGCCCGUGAGGAAGGCUUAUCUUCUAACCCCGAUUCCAUGGAAAUCGUAGAGCUUGCUGCACUUCUUCAUGAUAUAGGUGACUAUAAAUACUUGAGAGAUCAAUCUGAAGAGAGCAAAUUGUUGAGAAAUUUCUGGAGGAAGAGGGUGUGGAUGAAAUAAAGAAGAUGAAGAUCUUAGCAAUCAUCAAGGGGAUGGGUUUUAAAGAGGAACUUGCAGGACAUACGACUGAUGGAUUUUCUCCAGAAUUCGGAGUUGUGCAAGAUGCUGAUCGUCUUGAUGCAAUUGGUGCAGUUGGUAUUGCUCGCUGUUUUACUUUUGGUGGAAGUCGGAAUAGAGUGCUUCAUGAUCCUACCAUUCUCCCUCGUUCAGAUUUGUCCAAGGAACAGUACAUGAAGAAAGAAGAGCAGACCACUGUGAAUCAUUUUCAUGAGAAGCUUCUCAAAUUGAAGGAUUUGAUGAAAACUAAGGCUGGGCAGAAGAGGGCUGAGAGUAGGCACAAGUUCAUGGAGGAAUUUUUGAAAGAGUUCUAUGAUGAAUGGGAUGGACGAGCUUGAGCUAGGUACCUGCUGCUAAGAGCAGAACAUGGAACACAUUACCACAAGUCUCAGGACUAGGGGGGUCAUCCCCGCGCGUCCUAGUUACUUGUCGCAAAUUACCUGGCUAGACUAUUUAUCUUGCCCCAACCAAACUACUAAAUUAAGCGAAAGUUGCUUGCCCAAUCAUUGCUGCUCAAAUACUGCUUAUUCUGUUAUUUAGUACACAUACUAGUAGAUUUUGUCAGGAAGAUUAUCCUGAAUAAAUGAGUACUCAAUUAAGUAAAGACUAGAUGUAUGCCUAUUGUGAUUGAUGAGAUGUUGUAAGUUCAUUAAUUUAGUAGUUUGGUNNNNNNCAUUUUGGAUGUUUUGUUAAUUUUUUUUUUUUUUGUAAAAAGUAUUUUUAUCAACCACAAA
This 1118-nucleotide unclassified non-coding RNA is filed under the name Hevea brasiliensis (rubber tree). Lineage: Eukaryota; Viridiplantae; Streptophyta; Magnoliopsida; Malpighiales; Euphorbiaceae. The record is from RNAcentral.